CAAGCGUGGAUGAUGUGGAUUAAUUCGAUGCAACGCGAAGAACCUUACCUACCCUUGACAUGUCCGGAACUUGCCAGAGAUGGCUUGGUGCCGAAAGGGAAUCGGAACACAGGUGCUGCAUGGCUGUCGUCAGCUCGUGUCGUGAGAUGUUGGGUUAAGUCCCGCAACGAGCGCAACCCUUAUCAUUAGUUGCUACGCAAGGGCACUCUAAUGAGACUGCCGGUGACAAACCGGAGGAAGGUGGGGAUGACGUCAAGUCCUCAUGGCCCUUAUGGGUAGGGCUUCACACGUCAUACAAUGGUCGGUACAGAGGGUUGCCAAGCCGCGAGGCGGAGCCAAUCCCACAAAGCCGAUCGUAGUCCGGAUUGUUCUCUGCAACUCGAGAGCAUGAAGUCGGAAUCGCUAGUAAUCGCAGGUCAGCAUACUGCGGUGAAUACGUUCCCGGGUCUU
Molecule: ribosomal RNA, 450 nt
Filed under: uncultured Thiobacillus sp.
Lineage: Bacteria; Pseudomonadati; Pseudomonadota; Betaproteobacteria; Nitrosomonadales; Thiobacillaceae
Description: bacterial SSU rRNA
Rfam family: Bacterial small subunit ribosomal RNA
Source: RNAcentral